UGGGGAAUAUUGCACAAUGGGCGAAAGCCUGAUGCAGCGACGCCGCGUGAGGGAUGACGGCCUUCGGGUUGUAAACCUCUUUCAGUAGGGACGAAGCGCAAGUGACGGUACCUGCAGAAGAAGCACCGGCUAACUACGUGCCAGCAGCCGCGGUAAUACGUAGGGUGCGAGCGUUGUCCGGAAUUACUGGGCGUAAAGAGCUCGUAGGCGGUUUGUCACGUCGUCUGUGAAAUCCUAGGGCUUAACCCUGGACGUGCAGGCGAUACGGGCUGACUUGAGCACUACAGGGGGGACUGGAAUUUCUGGUGUAGCGGUGGAAUGCACAGAUAUCAGGAAGAACACCGAUGGCGAAGGCAGGUCUCUGGGUAGUAACUGACGCUGAGGAGCGAAAGCAUGGGUAGCGAACAGG
Molecule: ribosomal RNA, 409 nt
Filed under: bacterium
Lineage: Bacteria
Description: partial 16S ribosomal RNA
Rfam family: Bacterial small subunit ribosomal RNA
Source: RNAcentral